GAUGAACGCUGGCGGCGUGCCUAAUACAUGCAAGUCGAGCGAACAGAUAAGGAGCUUGCUCCUUUGAAGUUAGCGGCGGACGGGUGAGUAACACGUGGGUAACCUACCUAUAAGACUGGGAUAACUUCGGGAAACCGGAGCUAAUACCGGAUAACAUUUAGAACCGCAUGGCUCUAAAGUGAAAGAUGGUUUUGCUAUCACUUAUAGAUGGACCCGCGCCGUAUUAGCUAGUUGGUAAGGUAACGGCUUACCAAGGCGACGAUACGUAGCCGACCUGAGAGGGUGAUCGGCCACACUGGAACUGAGACGCGGUCCAGACUCCUACGGGAGGCAGCAGUAGGGAAUCUUCCGCAAUGGGCGAAAGCCUGACGGAGCAACGCCGCGUGAGUGAUGAAGGGUUUCGGCUCGUAAAACUCUGUUAUUAGGGAAGAACAAAUGUGUAAGUAACUGUGCACAUCUUGACGGUACCUAAUCAGAAAGCCACGGCUAACUACGUGCCAGCAGCCGCGGUAAUACGUAGGUGGCAAGCGUUAUCCGGAAUUAUUGGGCGUAAAGCGCGCGUAGGCGGUUUCUUAAGUCUGAUGUGAAAGCCCACGGCUCAACCGUGGAGGGUCAUUGGAAACUGGGAAACUUGAGUGCAGAAGAGGAAAGUGGAAUUCCAUGUGUAGCGGUGAAAUGCGCAGAGAUAUGGAGGAACACCAGUGGCGAAGGCGACUUUCUGGUCUGUAACUGACGCUGAUGUGCGAAAGCGUGGGGAUCAAACAGGAUUAGAUACCCUGGUAGUCCACGCCGUAAACGAUGAGUGCUAAGUGUUAGGGGGUUUCCGCCCCUUAGUGCUGCAGCUAACGCAUUAAGCACUCCGCCUGGGGAGUACGACCGCAAGGUUGAAACUCAAAGGAAUUGACGGGGACCCGCACAAGCGGUGGAGCAUGUGGUUUAAUUCGAAGCAACGCGAAGAACCUUACCAAAUCUUGACAUCCUUUGAAAACUCUAGAGAUAGAGCCUUCCCCUUCGGGGGACAAAGUGACAGGUGGUGCAUGGUUGUCGUCAGCUCGUGUCGUGAGAUGUUGGGUUAAGUCCCGCAACGAGCGCAACCCUUAAGCUUAGUUGCCAUCAUUAAGUUGGGCACUCUAGGUUGACUGCCGGUGACAAACCGGAGGAAGGUGGGGAUGACGUCAAAUCAUCAUGCCCCUUAUGAUUUGGGCUACACACGUGCUACAAUGGACAAUACAAAGGGCAGCUAAACCGCGAGGUCAUGCAAAUCCCAUAAAGUUGUUCUCAGUUCGGAUUGUAGUCUGCAACUCGACUACAUGAAGCUGGAAUCGCUAGUAAUCGUAGAUCAGCAUGCUACGGUGAAUACGUUCCCGGGUCU
This 1372-nucleotide ribosomal RNA is filed under the name uncultured bacterium. RNAcentral describes it as "bacterial SSU rRNA". It matches the Rfam family "Bacterial small subunit ribosomal RNA", at positions 28 to 1381 of the family's 1533-position model. The record is from RNAcentral.